GUCUCAACUCCCUCACCUGAGGGACCUACAACAAGCAAAGAGUCAUUACCUUCAUUUUGUUGAGGUGAUUCUUGAUGGGGAAGAAGUGUAAGUAGACAUGGGCACUGGGCCAUGUUUGGCAUGGCCUGGCUCAAGCCCAUCGGGCCACAGUCCAAACAGACCAUGCCUAGCACGACUAUUUUACCCCAAGCCCUAACCUGGCAC
Molecule: long non-coding RNA, 204 nt
Filed under: Elaeis guineensis (African oil palm)
Lineage: Eukaryota; Viridiplantae; Streptophyta; Magnoliopsida; Arecales; Arecaceae
Description: long non-coding RNA (EGUI_LNC052364)
Source: RNAcentral